This 491-nucleotide ribosomal RNA is filed under the name uncultured bacterium. RNAcentral describes it as "partial 16S ribosomal RNA". It matches the Rfam family "Bacterial small subunit ribosomal RNA", at positions 29 to 506 of the family's 1533-position model. The record is from RNAcentral.
AGUGAACGCUGGCGGUAGGCCUAACACAUGCAAGUCGAACGGCAGCACAGUAAGAGCUUGCUCUUACGGGUGGCGAGUGGCGGACGGGUGAGGAAUACAUCGGAAUCUACUUUUUCGUGGGGGAUAACGUAGGGAAACUUACGCUAAUACCGCAUACGACCUACGGGUGAAAGCAGGGGAUCUUCGGACCUUGCGCGAUUGAAUGAGCCGAUGUCGGAUUAGCUAGUUGGCGGGGUAAAGGCCCACCAAGGCCACGAUCCGUAGCUGGUCUGAGAGGAUGAUCAGCCACACUGGAACUAAGACACGGUCCAGACUCCUACGGGAGGCAGCAGUGGGGAAUAUUGGACAAUGGGCGCAAGCCUGAGCCAGCCAUACCGCGUGGGUGAAGAAGGCCUUCGGGUUGUAAAGCCCUUUUGUUGGGAAAGAAAAGCAGCAGGUUAAUACCCCGCUGUUCUGACGGUACCCAAAGAAUAAACACCGGCUAACUUCGU